GGGCUCACACAAGCGGUGGAGCAUGUGGCUUAAUUCGAAGCAACGCGAAGAACCUUAUCCAGGGUUUGACAUCCCGGAUUAAACCGUCGAAAGACGGUCUACACCCUUUGGGUGGAACGGUGACAGGUGCUGCAUGGCUGUCGUCAGCUCGUGCUGUGAAGUGUCGGGUUAAGUCCCUCAACGAGCGCAACCCUUAUCGUUAGUUGCUAACAGGUAAUGCUGAGGACUCUAGCGAGACUGCCGGUGUCAAACCGGAGGAAGGUGGGGAUGACGUCAAGUCCUCAUGGCCUUUAUGCCCUGGGCUGCACACGUGCUACAAUGGUAGGUACAGAACGAUGCAAGACCGCGAGGUGGAGCAAAUCGCUAAAACCUGCCCCAGUUCGGAUUGGAGGCUGCAACUCGCCUCCAUGAAGUCGGAAUCGCUAGUAAUCGC
RNAcentral lists this ribosomal RNA (433 nucleotides) under uncultured bacterium. RNAcentral's name for it is "bacterial SSU rRNA". It matches the Rfam family "Bacterial small subunit ribosomal RNA", at positions 917 to 1345 of the family's 1533-position model. The record is from RNAcentral.